CACACACGGCUCUCUCUCUCAUAACCUAACACUCGGAACACUGAGGUCAGAGGUCAUUAAAGCUUCUGUUCCAACAACACUGACGUAGUAAACAGUUAUCAUAAAUGCUACAUUAGCAUUACUUGUAUUAGAGAUUGCCUGAUAGCCACAUUAGCCACCUGCUAUCAUUAGCACCUAGCAGACUGUAGUUAGAUAAACAUGAAUAAUUGUUGCAGCUGAGUGAGUCAUGGAUGGAGUAUUGAUCAUGACGGCGCUGAUUACGGCCACAUGGAGAAGUGGGCGGGGUGCUGCUGGGGAGGUGUAGCUGAACCAAGGACAGAGUCCAGAGUGUGGGGAACCAAUCGGAGUACAUCAAAGGAGAAGUGAGGGCAGAGCAGCCAAUCAGAUGGUUUCAGGCUGCAGAGCCGUCCCGUGGACCGGACUGGAGUCUUUGCAGGACCCGUUCUGGCACCUGGACCCUAUGUUUGACUCCCCUGUCUUGCAGGCUUUACACUCACUGCUAUGGCCUCAGCUAUUACCACGCCACGUUUGGAGGAGCUGGGGGAGGGGGUGGGGGGCUGCACCACGAGCCGAACCCGGGAGGAUCCGCGGACCGCGACGGGAAAAAGCCCAGGAUCCCUUUGUAACAACUGCCAUCGAUAAACAAAGAUGGAAUUAAGCUUUAUUUAAAGGCUUUUUAUGGGCCGACGUGGACACUCGGAGGUGUGCGCGGGUGAGUCUCUUAAAGGUCCACAGGUGGAGAGUCCAGCGGACUCCUCAUCUCCUCAUGGCUCUAAGCCACGACAACCCCCACCUACUCCAACUGUUUCUGCGAAGCACCACAGCCCUGAACUUUGCAUAAGACAGCACAAGCAGUCUGACCAGUGUUUAAUGUGCUACAGAUUCUGAGAGAGGCCAGACUGAGCUGGUGUGCAGACAGACCCAAUGCCAGGACGCUCCUUCUGAAACCACACCUCCUGCUCUCUGUGAGAGACCGGCAAAAAGAUCCCGAACAGCUAAAAGGGAGCUGCUCAGUUUUUCCUUCAUCUGUCCAGAUGUUCCAUGACAUCAUACAUACAGAUGCUGCCCACACUCACCUCCUGCACCGAUGAUGACUGUACAUGAAAAAAAGUGACGCUAAAGUGCCUUAAAGCUGCAUUCUUUCUGAGGUCCAGCAGGGGGCGACUCCCCUGAAGUCUGAUUGGAUAGAAGUCUACAUAAUGAUUGACAGGUGGCACUCCGUGCUCGUUAAGGCUUUUUUGAAAAACUAAGAGGCUUCACAAAGCCGUGAGUGACUGCCGUCACUUUUCUCGUUGUAGCUCACACUUAUUUCAAAUCUGUACAAAGCGUCAAAUAACAGCAGCCUUCACCUCACGUAAAGAUGUCACUCAGGUCGGUGUUAUCAGUAACGACUAUCAGUUCCUAACCUGUUCAACAAUUAUCGUGUAUUUGCAUAAAUACGUGAACUAACGUGAAAACAAAUCUUUUUUUGUUGCAGUCAGCAUGCAUGUUUCAUUUUUAUUGCUUAAAUCUAACCAACCAACAAAGUAACAGUUGAAGUAAACACCAGAAAAAUAUCAAAGAAAGUCUAAAAAUGUUUUCAGGUUUGGGGCCUACAGUGACUUUACUUUGUGUACAUGGACAUGUGAGCUGACGAAAGCAGGAACACAAACUGAUGGGGAAACUUUGGUGCGAGGUGGCUUUCACCGCAGCACGAGCAUCUCUUUGUUUUUACCCUGUGAACCAGCCAGUGUGUGAGCAGACCAGAGUCACUGCUUUUAACCAUCGGGCCGGUCCUAAACUUACUUCCAUAUGACGUCAGUGCAACAAUGCACUCAUUCUUCUUAUGAAGUAGAAGCGAGGACAGGACAAUGAUGUUUUCAGCUUUCAGAUGAUGUGUGAAUGCUAUAUGUAAUGCUCCUUGUUCUCACACUGAGGGAAAAAGGUCAGCACAGGACUGUCACAGCCCAAGGUCACUUCAAGUGAAGUGCAUAAUUAAUGAUGCAGCUCGGAGGCACCAAACUCAUUCUCAGCCAUGAAAACAGGGAUCAAGAGCUUUAUAUCAUAAACACAGAGAUAUUUCCGCAUCUGAAAGUCGUAUCUGCUGAAAACAUACUGGAAGCUACGUGUUUGUGUUUGUAUCUGUAUCUGUAUCUGUAUCUUCUUCUCUGUUCCUAAGUCUUCGUGAUGGUUGGUUGUGGUUUUAUUUGCCUUCCAAAUGAGCAAUAAUGCUGGAAUAAAACCCCUCAGAACACAGAACACACGGGCUUUUGGAAAAGUGACAUUGGUGGAUUUCUAUCUAACCGUGGUCCCAUCUGACAGAAACCCAGGUGGGGUAGCAGGUGUCUUCAUUCUGUGACCAAUCCCAGCGAUUAACAGAUCAAUUAGGUUCCAGGUAGAAAAAAACCCAGCUGCACCCGCCACCCACCCGCUA
Long non-coding RNA from Oreochromis niloticus (Nile tilapia), 2413 nucleotides. RefSeq lists it as uncharacterized. The record is from RefSeq and is a predicted model, not a curated record. The transcript is spliced from 4 exons. NCBI's taxonomy places the organism in Eukaryota, Metazoa, Chordata, Actinopteri, Cichliformes, Cichlidae.